AUUGAACGCUGGCGGCAGGCCUAACACAUGCAAGUCGGACGGUAGCACAGAGGAGCUUGCUCCUCGGGUGACGAGUGGCGGACGGGUGAGUAAUGUCUGGGGAUCUGCCCGAUAGAGGGGGAUAACCACUGGAAACGGUGGCUAAUACCGCAUAACGUCGCAAGACCAAAGAGGGGGACCUUCGGGCCUCCAACUAUCGGAUGAACCCAGAUGGGAUUAGCUAGUAGGCGGGGUAACGGCCCACCUAGGCGACGAUCCCUAGCUGGUCUGAGAGGAUGACCAGCCACACUGGAACUGAGACACGGUCCAGACUCCUACGGGAGGCAGCAGUGGGGAAUAUUGCACAAUGGGCGCAAGCCUGAUGCAGCCAUGCCGCGUGUAUGAAGAAGGCCUUCGGGUUGUAAAGUACUUUCAGCGGGGAGGAAGGCGAUGUGGUUAAUAACCGCGUCGAUUGACGUUACCCGCAGAAGAAGCACCGGCUAACUCCGUGCCAGCAGCCGCCGUAA
RNAcentral lists this ribosomal RNA (506 nucleotides) under uncultured bacterium. Its description in RNAcentral is "partial 16S ribosomal RNA". It matches the Rfam family "Bacterial small subunit ribosomal RNA", at positions 29 to 523 of the family's 1533-position model. The record is from RNAcentral.